Molecule: long non-coding RNA, 472 nt
Organism: Saccostrea cuccullata (small rock oyster)
Lineage: Eukaryota; Metazoa; Mollusca; Bivalvia; Ostreida; Ostreidae
Exons: 3
Source: RefSeq, a predicted model, not a curated record
UGUAAACUAUCUAGUCAGCGAGCUUACCUAUGCAUUGUGACGUCAUAAACUUGGCAGCGACGUCAUGUUAGUCCUUCACAAGCCGCGAUGGCUGCUUAUUUUGACACAAUAACACAGACUUUCACAGCGCUUGAGACUUCAUGUAAUAACAGUAUGGUCCUAUGGAUUUCAGUACCAAAACUGAUUUUCUACCGUUUUUCUUCCAAGAAAGUUCUGAACAGCUGAAUCCUGGAUCAGCCUAGAUGUUAUUUCACUGGAUUAUUUAAUGAAUAUUACUCUACUGAGUUACCUGGUUACAUGGAUCAGCUAAGAUGUUGUUUCACUGGAUUAUUUAAUUGGGCAUAUAAUUGGAUAAUUCUGUCCUCAACCUGGAAGAUAUGUUUUAUUCCUAACCAUCUAUAAUCCAUUCUCUAUGAAGUUCAGCCUGUCUGCCCAAAUUCCUUUGGAAAUACAUAGUUAGUCAACCAACAUA